Molecule: ribosomal RNA, 252 nt
Filed under: uncultured bacterium
Lineage: Bacteria
Description: partial 16S ribosomal RNA
Rfam family: Bacterial small subunit ribosomal RNA
Source: RNAcentral
UACGGAGGAUGCGAGCGUUAUCCGGAUUUAUUGGGUUUAAAGGGUGCGUAGGCGGGAUGCCAAGUCAGCGGUAAAAAUGCGGUGCUCAACGCCGUCGAGCCGUUGAAACUGGCGUUCUUGAGUGGGCGAGAAGUAUGCGGAAUGCGUGGUGUAGCCGUGAAAUGCAUAGAUAUCACGCAGAACUCCGAUUGCGAAGGCAGCAUACCGGCGCCCUACUGACGCUGAGGCACGAAAGCGUGGGUAUCGAACAGG